AACGCGUGAGAAUCUGGCCUCAGGACGGGGACAACGUACUGGAAACGGUCGCUAAUACCCGAUGUGCCGAAAGGUGAAAGGAUUAAUUGCCUGAGGAUGAGCUCGCGUCUGAUUAGCUAGUUGGAGGGGUAAAGGCCCACCAAGGCGACGAUCAGUAGCUGGUCUGAGAGGAUGAUCAGCCACACUGGGACUGAGACACGGCCCAGACUCCUACGGGAGGCAGCAGUGGGGAAUUUUCCGCAAUGGGCGAAAGCCUGACGGAGCAAGACCGCGUGAGGGAAGACGGCCUACUGGUUGUAAACCUCUUUUGAUAGGGAAGAACACAAUGACGGUACCUAUCGAAUCAGCCUCGGCUAACUCCGUGCCAGCAGCCGCGGUAAUACGGAGGAGGCAAGCGUUAUCCGGAAUUAUUGGGCGUAAAGCGUCCGUAGGUGGAUAUUCAAGUCAGUUGUUAAAGCGUGGAGCUUAACUCCAUAAAGGCAAUUGAAACUGAAUGUCUAGAGUGCGAUAGGGGCAAGGGGAAUUCCCAGUGUAGCGGUGAAAUGCGUAGAUAUUGGGAAGAACAUCGGUGGCGAAAGCGCCUUGCUGGGUCUGCACUGACACUGAGGGACAAAAGCUAGGGUAGCGAACCGCAUUACUAUACCCAGGAUUCUCACGCGUUA
This 662-nucleotide ribosomal RNA is filed under the name Leptolyngbya carnea PUPCCC 112.15. RNAcentral's name for it is "bacterial SSU rRNA". It matches the Rfam family "Bacterial small subunit ribosomal RNA", at positions 112 to 804 of the family's 1533-position model. The record is from RNAcentral. Lineage: Bacteria; Bacillati; Cyanobacteriota; Cyanophyceae; Leptolyngbyales; Leptolyngbyaceae.